Molecule: ribosomal RNA, 500 nt
Filed under: Enterobacter cloacae
Lineage: Bacteria; Pseudomonadati; Pseudomonadota; Gammaproteobacteria; Enterobacterales; Enterobacteriaceae
Description: bacterial SSU rRNA
Rfam family: Bacterial small subunit ribosomal RNA
Source: RNAcentral
UAGACGAUGUCGAUUUGGAGGUUGUGCCCUUGAGGCGUGGCUUCCGGAGCUAACGCGUUAAAUCGACCGCCUGGGGAGUACGGCCGCAAGGUUAAAACUCAAAUGAAUUGACGGGGGCCCGCACAAGCGGUGGAGCAAGUGGUUUAAUUCGGUGCAACGCGAAGAACCUUACCUGGUCUUGACAUCCACAGAACUUUCCAGAGAUGGAUUGGUGCCUUCGGGAACUGUGAGACAGGUGCUGCAUGGCUGUCGUCAGCUCGUGUUGUGAAAUGUUGGGUUAAGUCCCGCAACGAGCGCAACCCUUAUCCUUUGUUGCAAGCGGUUAGGCCGGGAACUCAAAGGAGACUGCCAGUGAUAAACUGGAGGAAGGUGGGGAUGACGUCAAGUCAUCAUGGCCCUUACGACCAGGGCUACACACGUGCUACAAUGGCGCAUACAAAGAGAAGCGACCUCGCGAGAGCAAGCGGACCUCAUAAAGUGCGUCGUAGUCCGGAUUGGAA